GCUCGUUCCCUUGUGGAGCGAGCGCAGUUAUUARAACAAAACCAAUCCGGCCUUCGGGUCGGUUAAAAUGGUGACUCUGAAUAACCGAAGCGGAGCGUAUGGUCUCGUACCGACGCCAGAUCUUUCAAGUGACUGCUCUAUCAGCUUGUUGCUAGGUUAUGCUCCUAGCAAGGCUUCAACGGGUAACGGGGUAUCAGGGUCCGAUACCGGAGAGGGAGCCUGAGAAACGGCUACCACAUCCAAGGAAGGCAGCAGGCGCGCAAAUUACCCACUCCCAGCACGGGGAGGUAGUGACGAAAAAUAACGAUGCGAGGGCAUAUUGCUUCUCGUAAUCGGAAUGGGUACACUUUAAAUCCUUUAACGAGGAUCUAUUGGAGGGCAAGUCUGGUGCCAGCAGCCGCGGUAAUUCCAGCUCCAAUAGCGUAUAUUAAAGUUGCUGCGGUUAAAAAGCUCGUAGUUGGAUCUGGGCAGCUGGAUGUGCGGUGCGCUUUACAGCGUUACUGCUCGUUUGGCGCCACAAGCCGGCCAUGUCUUGCAUGCUCUUCACUGCGUGUGCUUGGCGACCGGAACGUUUACUUUGAAAAAAUUAGAGUGCUCAAAGCAGGCGUAUGGCCUUGCAUAAUGGUGCAUGGAAUAAUGGAAUAGGACCUCGGUUCUAUUUUGUUGGUUAUCGGAGCUCGAGGUAAUGAUUAAGAGGAACAGACGGGGGCAUUCGUAUUGCGGCGUUAGAGGUGAAAUUCUUGGAUCGUCGCAAGACGAACUACUGCGAAAGCAUUUGCCAAGAAUGUUUU
Molecule: ribosomal RNA, 791 nt
Filed under: Macrobiotus sp. PC-2013
Lineage: Eukaryota; Metazoa; Tardigrada; Eutardigrada; Parachela; Macrobiotidae
Description: SSU rRNA
Rfam family: Eukaryotic small subunit ribosomal RNA
Source: RNAcentral